RNAcentral lists this non-coding RNA (61 nucleotides) under Streptomyces sp. RK76. Lineage: Bacteria; Bacillati; Actinomycetota; Actinomycetes; Kitasatosporales; Streptomycetaceae. The record is from RNAcentral.
AGGCGAAACCCCUUCGGGGGUCGGGCGGGGUGGUUCCCCGUCCCUGAUGAGCCAACCAACA